AUCCUUUUAUAUUUUAUAGUUCGUGUGAUGAUUGGGUUUUCAUGCGCAUGCAUGAGAUGUGCCUCCCACAAAUCUCAUCACAACAUAGGCACAUUACCCAUCUUACA
Molecule: small nucleolar RNA, 107 nt
Organism: Nycticebus coucang (slow loris)
Lineage: Eukaryota; Metazoa; Chordata; Mammalia; Primates; Lorisidae
Product: small nucleolar RNA U13
Exons: 1
Source: RefSeq, a predicted model, not a curated record